Molecule: long non-coding RNA, 937 nt
Filed under: Homo sapiens (human)
Lineage: Eukaryota; Metazoa; Chordata; Mammalia; Primates; Hominidae
Description: non-protein coding THUMPD3-AS1:44
Source: RNAcentral
ACACUCCUCUUCACAUUCCCGACUUACACGCAGAGGGAAAGAGAAUUCAUAAAGGGAAUAUUUUUCUGCCUUUGAAGAUAUUCUCACAAGAUCGUUCUCCACGCCCAAGGCAAGUAAAACGACACAAUCUGGCUCAACUCCAGGCUCGAACCCUACACAUUCAACGAGGCUAUCUCAGACACGCUGUGGCACACGCCACGGGGAGCCAGAGAACGUGUGGUGGGGGUGGCGAAGGUAAUGCCUUUGGGAAGCAGCCAUCUGAGGUGGGAAGCCAGAAAACGAGAGGGAAGGCGUCCAGGAAGAUUACGGAGGGGAGAUCGCGGCCCCCAGAGCGAUCAGAGUUGUCUGUCACAAGGCCGCGAGAACGGGGGUAGGGAGUGGGGGAUCGGGGAGAGAAAAAAAGUAUGCCUGUGUAUUUCGAGCGGAGGGCAGCAAGAGGCCUCUCCUCAAGGGAAAGGUGUGGAAACAGGAAGAGAACUAGAACUGGAAGUAAAGCAUUGAAGAUGUGACUGAAUUGCUGCAAUCUCAUGAUCAAAUUUGAAUGGAUGAGGAGUUGCUUUUUAGGGAUGAGCAAAGAAAGUGGUUUCUCGAGAUGGAAUCUACUGGUGAAGUUGCUGUGAACAUUGUUAAAAUGCCAAUAAAGGAUUUAGGAAUUACAGAAACCUGGUUGAUAAAGCAGUGCCAGGGUGUGAGAGAGUUGACUUCAAUUUUGAAAUAAGUUCCACUGGCUGGGUGUGGUGGCUCACACCUGCAAUCCCAGUACUUUAGGAGGCCGAGACUGGUAGAUCAUUUGAGGUCAGGAGUUCAAGACCAGCCUUGCCAACAUGGUGAAACCCCACCUCUACCAAAUUAGCCAGGUGUGGUGCACACCUGUAGUCCCAGCUACUUGGGAAGCUGAGGCAGGAGAAUCUCUUGAACCAGGGAGGAGGAGGUUGCA